RNA transcript from Populus nigra (black poplar), 3087 nucleotides. RefSeq lists it as uncharacterized. The record is from RefSeq and is a predicted model, not a curated record. The transcript is spliced from 2 exons. NCBI's taxonomy places the organism in Eukaryota, Viridiplantae, Streptophyta, Magnoliopsida, Malpighiales, Salicaceae.
GCUGUGCAUUCUUUUGUUAUAGACCUCAAAUCUUCUUACUGGGAUGUGGUUUUUCAGGGCUGUUAGAGAUUGGAUUAUUGAACUGGAGUGCACAAAGAGAAUUACAAAAAAAAUAGCUUUCAUUGCUGCUGUCUUAUAUGGUUGAAGUCGUUGAAAUAGGUGAGGCCGUUUGAUUUUUUUACAAUAAAGGAUUGAUCAAAGACUUGGAAUGCUUGCUGCUGCUGCUGGAAUUUUACUUCUUUGUUCUACUUAUUAGAGGGAAGGUCUAUUUUUAUCAACUUAGUUCUUUUAGAUUCUUUUGACUGCAUUUAAGUGAAGGACUGUGGGUUUUUUUUGCCAAAAAGAACAGAAUGGAGAGAAGCUAGCAUUUUUUUUUCCUUUUCUUAUGUUGGUCAAGAUGAUUGAUUGAUGCUGUUGUUGUGUUGUAUUUGUUUAUACAUAGGGUUUUGAUUGAAAAAAUAAUAAUAGAAGAAUGGGAGAAGGAAGAGCUAGCAAAAGCUACUGAGAGAGUUGGUUUGACCACUGUGUGUUUUGAUUUUAUUUUUUUCCAUGUGAAUGCCAGUAAAGAUUUUUGUUAAAAUUGCCAGGGAAGAGGAGCUUAGGUUGCAGAGACGAGGAAAGAGGCUUUGCAUUGGGUUAGGGACUUUGAGAGAUUGUCUGGGGCUUUUUCUUUCACCUUCUUUUCCAAGCAUAGGUUUCUUUUUUCUUUUAGUUUUUUUUGCAUGUGCAUUCACUGGUUUUUCUCUCUCAUUUGGUUUCUGCUGGUGUGCUUUUCCUACAGAGUAAUUUCCUUUCAUUUCAUGUUUUCUCCUGUUGUCUCUGUGGUUCUUAAGUCUUUCCUCCGAUGUUUAUUGUUUAUGUGCUGGGGUUUUCAGUUCUGCUUCUCUGUUCUUUAGAGGAUCCAUUGCCUCUGUGUGUUUCUGCUGAAGGGUCAUUGUUGGGGCUUGAGGACCAUUCCUGGGUUGCUUUUCCCAGGUUUGUUAGUCUUUAUUUGUCUUCUCUGCUCCCGUUGUUAUUAGUUCUUGAGUUGUUGUCUACAUUUAGGCUUUUUUUUCAUCUGGUUGUUGUUCUUGGUUGCAUUUUACUUAUCAUGUUCUUAUUGUCUUAUUUUAUUCACAUCUACUUGAUUAAUUUCAGUUGCUUGUUCAACCAUAGAUAGUGGUGUUUUCCUUUAUUGUGAUAAAAUGUACAAACCAUAACAAUAAUAUCAAUCUUAAUAAAUCCACUCUGACUUAACCCAUUGAACUCCUCUUGGAUCCACUUCAUUUUAAGUCUUAGAAUAGACUAAAUGAACAUUUUUAAUGGAUUAUUUGAUGUUGUGGUCAAGAUCACAUCAAUUUUCAAUGUAACUAUUGAUGUAAUUAUUCUAGCUAUACUAGUAUCAUACAUAGAAUUAGAAUAAUCAUAGUGGGAAUCAUCACUUCUAGACCCUUUAUUUAAAUAACUAGAAUUCCAAUAACUAGAAAAUUCUUUUGUCUAAUUCAAUAAAAAAAGAAUGAUUAUUGUCAAUCCCAAAAACUUGAUUUUUAAUAUCAAAAUAUAUGGAAUUACCAUUUUUUUUUUAUUAUCCCUACCUAAAACUAAAAAUGUGGCAUCCACAUUUAAAUUCCAAAUGUCCCUAACGCUGACUAGAUGAUUAACAUUAUUACUGUCACUAUGACUCCAAUUAUAGGUGUUUUUUUCAAUAUCAUUUAGAAAAGUCUUCACUUACACUGAUAUUUUCAAGAGGACCAAGAUUUACUUAGCGUACACCUGCAUUCUAACUCCACGUUACAAAACAUUGAAUUGAACCAACAUUUUUUUAUUUAGCUUUCUUACUGUUAUUUACAUCAAAAUAAAUUGAUGUAUAGUCAUUCAAUGAAAAAUCAUUUGAAUAUUUCAUUUCCUCCCAGAAUAAGCAUAUAAUCCAAUCACUAUGUUGAGCUUGAAGCUAUGGUUUAUAUAACUACCAAGAUAGAGAGGCAGUUGAAGAGAACAUUUCAUGAAAGUAAUUCAAGUUCCUUUUGAGCUUAAAGGCUGAAUUAUAGGGGAGAGAGGACUGCCAUAUCAAAGCUGAAUAUUGUAGGCAACAAUGAUCAUCUGAAGCUUGGAGAAAAGAUUUGGCCACUGAAACAAAAGGUAAAGUCAAGACCUCAUUUAAUCAUAAUCAUGAUAUUAAGUGUUUUAGGUGUUUAGAGAGGACAUAUAGCUUUCAAUAUCCAAACAAAAGGAUUAUAGUUAUGAGGAAGUAUGGAGAGAUUGAAUCCGAAAGUGGGGGAAGGAUGCCACCAUUUGGGGACUGUAGUGAUGUCAAGUAUCCAGUUGAUUGAGAUGCUUUAGUGAUUAGGAGACCAUUUAAUAUUCAUAUUAAGGAGGAUGAUGUAGAGCAACAAAUGGAGAACAUAUUCCAUACUAGAUGCCAUAUAAAUAAUAAGAUAUGUAGUAUAAUUAUUAAUAGGGGGAUUUGUGCUAAUGUUGCUAGUACUAUAUUUGUUAAAAAAUUGAAUUUUAAAACUUUUAAACAUGAAAAGCCUUAUAGAUUUCAAUGGUUAACUGAUUGUGGAGAAGUAAGAGUUAAUAAACAAAUUUUGGUUUCUUUUUUAGAUAGAAAAUAUAAUGAAGUUUUGUGUGGCAUUGUAUCUAUGCAUGCUAUUUAUUUAUUGCUAGGGAUGCCUUAAUAAUUUGAUAAAAAAAAGAAGAAGCAUGAUGAGCUUAAGAAUAAGUAUUCUUUUGAGAAGAAUGAGAAGAUAUUCACACACGUACCAUAGUCCCCUAGACAAGUGUAUGAAGACCAAUUAACGUUGAAAGGAGAAAGUGAAGCUGAAGAAAAAGAUCAACCAUGUGAAUGGGAAAGAGUGAAAAUAAAGUGAGCCAAGAGAAAAGGUUAGAUUUGGCCAAAAUUGGAAUUAAUAAGGAUUUGACCGAGAGAGGAGAGAAGAAAAUAGAAAAGAAGAAAGGAAGUUGAGAAAAGAAGAGUGUGGAAAAAAAACAUAGUUUUUAUGCAAAAGGAAGUAACAUUAAGACUGUUUAUUUUUCUGACAUGCCUAUAAUUUUACUUGUAUUUAAAGGUAUAUUUUAAUACUAAUGAACUUAAUCUUUGUAUUGUUA